Long non-coding RNA from Astyanax mexicanus (Mexican tetra), 2951 nucleotides. RefSeq lists it as uncharacterized. Lineage: Eukaryota; Metazoa; Chordata; Actinopteri; Characiformes; Acestrorhamphidae. The record is from RefSeq and is a predicted model, not a curated record. The transcript has 2 exons.
UGUGCCAAGUCCUGCUGGAAAAUGAAAUCCACAUCUCCAUAAAAGUUGUCAGUAGCAGAGGGAAGCAUGAAGUGCUGUAAGAUUUUGUGGGAAAACAAAACUGCACUGACUUUAGACUUGAUAAUAAAACACAGUGGAUCAACACCAGCAGAUGACAUGUCUCUCCAAAGCAUCACUGAUCAUCAGUAAAUUUUACAUUUCAUUUGUAAAUCAAGGGAUCAGAGUCUGGAGGAAGAGUGGAGAGACACACAGUCCAAACUGCUUGAGGUCUAAUGUGAAGUUUCCACCAAUCAGUGAUGGUUUGGAGAGACAUGUGAUCUGCUGGUGUUGAUCCACUGUGUUUUAUUAUCAAGUCUAAAGUCAGUGCAGUUUUGUUUUCCCACAAAAUCUUACAGCACUUCAUGCUUCACUCUGCUGCUGACAACUUUAAUGGAGAUGAGGAUUUCAUUUUCUAGCAGGAUUUGGCACACUGCCCACACUGCCCAAAGUACCAAUUGGUCUUAUAUAAUAUUCUAAUUUUCGGAGACACUGAUUUUUGUUUUUUCUUUAGCUGUAAGCCAUAAUCAUCAACAAUUAAAGAAAUAAGCGCUUAAAAUAGAUCACUCUGUGUGUAAUACAUCUAUAAUAUGAGUUUCACAUUUUGAAAUGAAUUGCUCAAAUAUAGUAACUUUUCAAUGAUAUUCUAAUUUUUUGAGAUGCACCUGUAUGUGUUUUUAUUAGAGCUGUAAAUGUGUGCUUCAUGAAGGUGAGGCUUAACAUGGUAAGUACAUCACCACUAACAUUGAACAUGCAUGGUUUGUGCAUUUGCGCUUCUUACUGUAGUGUAGGCUCCAGAUUGGACCAGAACCAGUCUGGACCACACCCAAUGAGCAUACAGCUGCUCCUUGUUGAGCUGAAUGUAUUAGGAAAUACAUUGUUGGAGAUUACUCAAAGGACCCUCAUGAGAAAAUGCUAAUCCACAGUUUGCUCCAUGGGUUCUCUAAAUUCCAGAUGCCUUUAAAAGGACUGGUGUAGCAAGUACCCAAGCUGGGAACUCGCCAGGCUAUAGUUUUGUAGACAUUAGAAGACGUAUGAAAGUAAUUUGCAUUCAGGUUUUUUUUUAAUCUUGGUGCGAUUAGUUUCGGCAGGUGUAAAUAUAGUUAUCUUACAUUUUCACACAAUUAUCUGAACUUUCUACUCCUUACAUUUUAAUAAAAAACAGUCUCGUUACUCCUAUUUCAUUUCAGCUCGUUUUUAUUCCGGCUUCUCAUCGUUCAAUGAAACCCCUAUCCAGAUAAAUCUCUCCAUCCAGAUAGAGUGAAUCUGAUUGUGAUUGGAUGUAGAGAAGUAUAAACAUAUACCAUUCUGACUUCCUAUUGGUUUAUACUGUGAUCCAUCACACCUGCACACCUUAGUCAUUAUGGCUUUUAGAAAAAUGUGUUUUGGGAGGGGGGUCCUUAGCUUUUGUCCUUAAUAUCAUUUUUAAUAAUUAAUAAAAAAAAUAUGGUAAUUAUGGGAUGUAAUUUCUUUUGUGUCUGUGGGAGACUGGUGCUGUGAGUGUGUGUGGUUGGGGGUGGGGUUAGAGACACAACAAAGCAACAUGAUGUAGUAUUUUUUACUUUAAUAUAACAGCUUCCAUAUUAUUGUCAUGGUACAAUGACGUGUAAUUGUGCAUAGAUAGAUAGAUAGAUAGAUAGAUACUUCAUUGAUCCCGAAGGAAAUUUAGCAAUGCUGCAUGCUGCUAAAGAUCAAACCUGCAGACUACAGCGGAUGAUAGACAAACCAGUAUGUCUAUUAAAUGCAAUUGAACUGCAAGGUGAAAGUAAACGAUACUCUAUAGAAUGUACCCCUACAUCCAACACUAACCCAAACUCUUAUAUUAACAUUUAAUCUUAACUAAAUUCAGGGAUAGUUUUGCGUUUUAGAUUAAGGUUUGAGUUAGGGUUAAAUUUUAGGGUUAGAUUUAAGUUUAGGUAAAGGUUGGAGUUACAGUUAUGUUUUAAGGUUCGUUUUAGGUUUUGGAUUAAGGUUUGAGUUGAGGUUAGGGUUGGGUUUUAUGGUUAGUUUAAAUUUUAGAUUUAGCUUUGAUUUUGGGUUAGUUUUAAGUUUAAGACUAAGAUUUGAGUUAGGGUUAGGCUUAAGUUAUAGUCUAAGAUUUGCAAUAGGUUUUAGGGUUUAAUAUUGGUUUUAGAUCAAGUGUUGGGUUUUAUGGUUAGAUUAAAAUUUUACAUUAAGAUUUGAGUUUGGGUUGGUCUUAAAUUUUAGUUUAAGGUUUGAGUAAGGGUUAGUUUUUAGUUUUAGAUUAAGAUUUGAGUUAGGGUUAGGUUUAAGUUAUAGUCUAAGAUUCGGAGUAGGUUUUAGGGUUCGAUUUAGGUUUUAGAUUAAGGUUUGAGUUAGGGUUAGUUUUUAGUUUUAGAUUAAGGUUUGAGUUAGGGUUAGGUAAAUGUUUUUAUCAAUCAGCAUCAUUUACAUUCAUUUAAGAGUUAAGUUGCAGACACUCAUUUGCUCAUUUGAAUGUUAGUUGAGCAUCUAUGAGGCAUCUGUGGACCAUCCAAAUAAAGUGAUGCCGUUUUCUUUUUUUAGUUAUUUUUAUUUGUUGCUUUUUUUCUUCCAGAUUUACAGAAACACAAAUAAAGUCUGUCUUUUGGAGUAAACUUGAGUAUUUUAUGCAUACUUCUUCAGAUUUAUUGAUCUGGAAUGUCCUUUAAUAAGCUAAAUACACACUUAUGCACUAAUGGGAAAUUAAUGGCUUGAUUCAGCAUUUAACAGGCAGUCAACAAUUCCUACAGAUUAGCUAGUAAGCAGUUUAAUAUUUGCUGUUUAAUAUUUGCAGUACUCAAGAAUUCUCAUACGUAAGCUUAGUGCUUCACAUCUCCUGCCCUGCAUCCCAUUCAGCUGCUGCCAGUGUUUGGCUGUUUUUUCUUUUUCUGUUUUCUUUUUGUUUCAGUAAUAAAACUGAAUUGCAAUCACAA